UUGCAGCCAAUUAAGCCAACCAUGCUCUCUUCCCCUUGGGGGCCCAGGGUGCAAUAGCUAUAAACAGCAGCCUCCUAGGUAGUGUAUGCAACUGUUGCCUGUACAGUUUGCCCUACAGUAUCUUAAAGACAACU
Cervus hanglu yarkandensis (Yarkand deer) is the source of this 134-nucleotide small nucleolar RNA. Its record names the gene SNORA70. It matches the Rfam family "Small nucleolar RNA SNORA70". From Rfam's summary of the family: snoRNA U70 seems to be exclusive to mammals and is a member of the H/ACA class of snoRNA which contain H (ANANNA) and ACA box motifs. H/ACA box snoRNAs are involved in the conversion of uridines to pseudouridines (5-ribosyluracil) a constituent of structural RNAs (transfer, ribosomal, small nuclear, and small nucleolar). The record is from Ensembl. Lineage: Eukaryota; Metazoa; Chordata; Mammalia; Artiodactyla; Cervidae.